RNAcentral lists this ribosomal RNA (484 nucleotides) under uncultured bacterium. RNAcentral describes it as "partial 16S ribosomal RNA". It matches the Rfam family "Bacterial small subunit ribosomal RNA", at positions 30 to 507 of the family's 1533-position model. The record is from RNAcentral.
AUUGAACGCUGGCGGCAGGCCUAACACAUGCAAGUCGAGCGGAUGAAGGGAGCUUGCUCCUGGAUUCAGCGGCGGACGGGUGAGUAAUGCCUAGGAAUCUGCCUAGUAGUGUUGGAUAACGUCCGGAAACGGGCGCUAAUACCGCAUACGUCCUGAGGGAGAAAGUGUGGGAUCUUCGGACCUCACGCUAUCAGAUGAGCCUAGGUCGGAUUAGCUAGUUGGUGGGGUAAAGGCCUACCAAGGCGACGAUCCGUAACUGGUCUGAGAGGAUGAUCAGUCACACUGGAACUGAGACACGGUCCAGACUCCUACGGGAGGCAGCAGUGGGGAAUAUUGGACAAUGGGCGAAAGCCUGAUCCAGCCAUGCCGCGUGUGUGAAGAAGGUCUUCGGAUUGUAAAGCACUUUAAGUUGGGAGGAAGGGCAGUAAGUUAAUACCUUGCUGUUUUGACGGUACCAAAAGAAUAAGCACCGGCUAACUUCGUG